RNAcentral lists this long non-coding RNA (856 nucleotides) under Pongo abelii (Sumatran orangutan). Its description in RNAcentral is "lincRNA". Lineage: Eukaryota; Metazoa; Chordata; Mammalia; Primates; Hominidae. The record is from RNAcentral.
GGCAGUCUAUACCCCAACUCAACUGGCUGGUCCUCAGUGCUGCCUGCUUCCGUGCCCAACUUAGAACUACACAUCUACUGCCUCUUGGUAACAUGUCAUUAUGAGAGUUUCACUCUGUUGCCAGGCUGGAGUACAGUGGCACGAUCUUGGCUCACUGCAACCUCCACCUCCCAGGUUCAAGAGAUUCUCCUGCCUCAGCCUCCUGAGUAGCUGGGACUACAGCCACGUGCCACCACACCCAUCUAAUUUUUGUAUUUUUAGUAGAGACAGAGUUUCACCACGUUGGCCAGGCCAGGAUGGUCUCCAUCUCUUGACCUCAUGAUCCACCCGCCUUGGCCUCUCAAAGUGCUGGGAUUGCAGGCUUCUUCAUCAGCCCUAACCCUGCCAACCACUCCUGCCUCACUGAAUGUGCCAACGGAUUGCUCAGCUCCAACCAAGGAAAAGAAGAAGGAAGUUGGAUAUUUUAUACCCUCUACAUUGUCCAUUAGCAACACAACCUAGAGCUAGGAUGGAGGAAGAAAACGCCAAAAUGCUGAUGAAAAAUGUUCAGAUGUAUCACAUAUUAAGCAUACAUGAUCUCAAAUAUUUUUCCUGAUUUAUGCUAUGCAUGCUAUUUUCCAUGUUGUAUAGGCUCUGGUGCUAGUCUACAUUUAUAGAAAUCUCCAUCAGCUGUACAAAUGGCAAUUUAAAUACAUUUAACUAUGUGCUAAUAAUCUCAUAAUACAAUUUAUCAUGUAUGAUUGGCAGAAGAAAUUAUUUGGGGCAAAAGCUAUGAUUGUAUUGUUGUAAGUUAUUAUGAAUGCUGGGCAGUGUAGGACAUGGCACUUGCUACCACCUCCCAGAAAUGUGUAAGGGC